UACGAAGGGGGCUAGCGUUGCUCGGAAUUACUGGGCGUAAAGGGCGCGUAGGCGGCACUGUUAGUCAGGCGUGAAAUUCCUGGGCUCAACCUGGGGACUGCGCUUGAUACGGCAGAGCUUGAGGAUGGAAGAGGGUCGCGGAAUUCCCAGUGUAGAGGUGAAAUUCGUAGAUAUUGAGAAGAACACCGGUGGCGAAGGCGGCGACCUGGUCCAUUACUGACGCUGAGGCGCGACAGCGUGGGGAGCAAACAGG
This 253-nucleotide ribosomal RNA is filed under the name uncultured bacterium. RNAcentral's name for it is "partial 16S ribosomal RNA". It matches the Rfam family "Bacterial small subunit ribosomal RNA", at positions 524 to 776 of the family's 1533-position model. The record is from RNAcentral.